Molecule: long non-coding RNA, 519 nt
Organism: Labeo rohita (rohu)
Lineage: Eukaryota; Metazoa; Chordata; Actinopteri; Cypriniformes; Cyprinidae
Exons: 3
Source: RefSeq, a predicted model, not a curated record
CGUAUCCAGGGCAGUUCCAACUACAGGCUGGGGAAUACGCUUUUCAGUUUGUCAUGGAGGGCUUUCGAUGGGACCAUGGAGAGUCUUGACUUUUAGGUCUCUUACUCCCCACUUCCUCAUCCAAGCCUGAGUGCCUUUACAGCCACAAGGAACCUGUUCUUUUUGAAUCGCCACACGUGAAUGAUCAGACAUGUCGCACAGGCGGCGCAGGACUUUCCGGAGGAAACCACAGCACUGGGAUGGGAGACUGACAGAACGAAGCAGAUAAAGAAGAAGAAGAAUGGGAUGCAGUGGAAAAACUUCCAGAUUUAGUAUUACUACAAGGUACUACAGGGUACUGCACAUUUAUUGUGUUGUAAUAUAUUACUUCAUCCGAACAAAAUAAUAUAAAUUUCACCCAACUGCCAUAUUCUCAAGGACACGUCCUUCUAUCAGCAUUUAUGUGUGCAUCAACAAAACAUUGUUCUGGUAACCUUGUUUUGGAGGAUUCCAUGAAACCUUGGGUAUAUUCACACAUAU